This 266-nucleotide ribosomal RNA is filed under the name uncultured bacterium. RNAcentral's name for it is "partial 16S ribosomal RNA". It matches the Rfam family "Bacterial small subunit ribosomal RNA", at positions 793 to 1055 of the family's 1533-position model. The record is from RNAcentral.
GUCCACGCCCUAAACGAUGCCAACUAGUUGUUGGGGAAGGAGACUUCCUUAGUAACGAAGCUAACGCGUGAAGUUGGCCGCCUGGGGAGUACGGUCGCAAGAUUAAAACUCAAAGGAAUUGACGGGGACCCGCACAAGCGGUGGAUGAUGUGGAUUAAUUCGAUGCAACGCGAAAAACCUUACCUACCCUUGACAUGCCAGGAACUCUGCUGAGAGGUGGAGGUGCCCGAAAGGGAGCCUGGACACAGGUGCUGCAUGGCUGUCGU